UCUGACAUGGUGUUUGCUGAUGGGCUAACC
RNAcentral lists this non-coding RNA (30 nucleotides) under Mus musculus (house mouse). Lineage: Eukaryota; Metazoa; Chordata; Mammalia; Rodentia; Muridae. The record is from RNAcentral.